Molecule: ribosomal RNA, 484 nt
Filed under: uncultured bacterium
Lineage: Bacteria
Description: partial 16S ribosomal RNA
Rfam family: Bacterial small subunit ribosomal RNA
Source: RNAcentral
AUUGAACGCUGGCGGCAUGCUUUACACAUGCAAGUCGAACGGCAGCGCGGGCUUCGGCCUGGCGGCGAGUGGCGAACGGGUGAGUAAUGCAUCGGAACGUGCCCAGCAGUGGGGGAUAGGCUGGCGAAAGCCGGACUAAUACCGCAUACGACCAGAGGGUGAAAGCGGGGGUCCGAAAGUGCACGCGCGAUUGGAGCGGCCGUAGACGGAUUAGCGAGUUGGUGGGGUAAAGGCUUACCAAGGCGACGAUCCGUAGCUGGUCUGAGAGGACGACCAGCCACACUGGAACUGAGACACGGCCCAGACUCCUACGGGAGGCAGCAGUGGGGAAUUUUGGACAAUGGGGGCAACCCUGAUCCAGCCAUGCCGCGUGCGGGAAGAAGGCCUUCGGGUUGUAAACCGCUUUUGUUCGGGAAGAAAUCCUCUGGGCUAAUACCCCGGGGGGAUGACGGUACCGGAAGAAUAAGCACCGGCUAACUACGUG